Molecule: ribosomal RNA, 253 nt
Filed under: uncultured bacterium
Lineage: Bacteria
Description: partial 16S ribosomal RNA
Rfam family: Bacterial small subunit ribosomal RNA
Source: RNAcentral
UACAGAGGUCCCAAGCGUUGUUCGGAUUCAUUGGGCGUAAAGGGUGCUUCGGCGGUCUGUCGCGUCGAAUGUGAAAACCCGAGGCUCAACUUCGGGCCUGCAUUCGAUACGGGCAGACUAGAGUUCGGUAGGGGAGUCUGGAAUUCCUGGUGUAGCGGUGAAAUGCGCAGAUAUCAGGAGGAACACCGGUGGCGAAGGCGGGACUCUGGGCCGAUACUGACGCUGAGGAGCGAAAGCGUGGGGAGCAAACAGG